Molecule: ribosomal RNA, 468 nt
Filed under: Triticum aestivum (bread wheat)
Lineage: Eukaryota; Viridiplantae; Streptophyta; Magnoliopsida; Poales; Poaceae
Description: partial small subunit ribosomal RNA
Source: RNAcentral
AUGGACAAGCUGGUGCAGUUCGGGAGGAAGGCAUGGUUCGUGGUGCGGGUCAUGUCCGGCUACGAGGAGAGGAGGAUCCGGUCCUACAGGCUGCAGCUGCAGCAGCGCCUCCAGCAGGCUCAGGCUAAGAAGAAGGAGAUUGAGAAACAACCAGAGCAAGUUAUUCUGUCAGAGGUUCGUCAAGUGGUUCAGCAGAUGCAAGCUCUCAAUCAGCACCUCGAAGAAGCUGAAACUGCCAUAGACGAGUAUUUCAAACCGAUCGACAAGAAUGCUCAGAUCUUAACAGACAUGCAAAUGGAGAAAGAAGAGAAGCAAAUGAAGGAGAUGCUCCAAGUAAUGCGAGGCCAAAUAGAAAUGCAAAGAGAAAUCGAGGCGAGGAAAGCCGAGGCCAGUGCCGUGGAGCCUGUCAACACCCAAGCGAGUGCAACAACGGCCGAGAUUCCUCCAAAACAAGAAAACACUAAAUAG